Regulatory RNA element from Balearica pavonina (black crowned-crane), 175 nucleotides. It matches the Rfam family "TUC338". The record is from Rfam. Lineage: Eukaryota; Metazoa; Chordata; Aves; Gruiformes; Gruidae.
UUGACAGCCUUGGAGACUGAAGCCCUCUAUUUAUCUACAGAACAGGUACAGCCUGGGCAGCAGCAGUGCUAGCGUCCACUUUCCCCACCACCGUGCCUCAGCCCUGACCUGGAAGAACCACCUCUAGAGGUGAGAGGGGAACUCAGCCUCCACAUCCAGUGAGAGCUUGGCCUCU